Molecule: long non-coding RNA, 1133 nt
Organism: Canis lupus familiaris (dog)
Lineage: Eukaryota; Metazoa; Chordata; Mammalia; Carnivora; Canidae
Exons: 2
Source: RefSeq, a predicted model, not a curated record
AGCUGGCUUGGCUGACGCAGGCUGUUGAUGGCACGCUUAUUUACGCCCGUGAAUGCACGCUCAAGCAAGGACCUGAAAAACCUGCAGUGUGGGCAGCAGGGAAACCGCUGAACAUGUGCCCAGGUUACAUCUCUCCUGGUUAUUCGGGUUUGAUAUGCAGGCGGUGACUUCUGAGUUUCAUGGAACUUUCUCAGCACCUCCUUCUUGUCCCUGAUCUCUUUCUUCACCAAGUAAGAGGCUUCCCCAAGACUACAUGAGAGGUGCCGCUGGGAGGAAGGAAGAAACAAAGGACCCUGGACCCUUGUGCCAAGUUCCUUAUUUUGAAUGGGUUUCCAGUUAGAUGUAGCCUCAUUUUAAACCAUAGGCUUGGUGAGGUUGAUUUCACAGCUCUGCGGGCUGGAUGCCAAGCUAAGAGCCUGGACAGUUGCCCAAUCAAUGAAAAGUUGUGGUUCUUUUUUUUUUUUUUUUUUUUUUCAGGCACAGAACGAACAAACAAAGAACAGUUAGAGGGGAGGUUUAGGCUAGGAUGAUACAAUUUUAGGUCCCCUUCAAAAAAGAUGUUUUCAUUUCUUUCUUCUGCGUCUAUACUUUCAUCCCGACUUCCCCUCCCCUUCCUUUGUUAAUGAAAUUCCUAUCUAAGAGUUGAAAGAUUCCCCACGAGAGCCCAAAUAAAAAGCCAGUAUGUGAGCAAGCCUGUGGGAAGAUGUUCUCCAAGCGUGAGUGUGUUCAGUGGGUCAUGUGACUGUCAGUGGAAACGUGUCUGAGGGUGAGGACUUUUUCCUUGUGGUGGACUUGAGGAACUCUUCGUUGUCACAGAUCAAGAGAGUUAGGAUGAAGGAUGUCGUCAAAAGAACAUGUCUGGGAGAUGGUCGGUGACUCAGUAAAUGUUUGUUGAGUGACUGGAAGAAUGGUGGAAAGGAAAGAGUCUGGUCUUCUGUAUGCAGGCUUGGAUUCAAGUCCCAUCUCUGCCACUUCCCAUCUGUGUGAGCCAGGACAAGUUAUACAACUUCUCUCAGACUCAGUUUCCACAUCUAUAAAAUAGGUUUGCCACCAGGACUAGAGAUAAUAUAUGUAAGCUGCUUAGCAUAAUGCCUGGAACAUAGUAUAUGCUCAAUAAAUGGUAGUUACGCCAA